GAUGAAGAACGUAGCGAAAUGCGAUAAGUAAUGUGAAUUGCAGAAUUCAGUGAAUCAUCGAAUCUUUGAACGCACAUUGCGCCCCUUGGUAUUCCGAGGGGCAUGCCUGUUCGAGCGUCAUUUCAACCCUCAAGCACAGCUUGGUCUUGGGCUUCGCCGCUAACCCGGCGGGUCUUAAAAUCAGUGGCGGUGCCGUCGGGCCCUGAGCGCAGUAAUCUCUCUCGCUAUAGGGUCCCGGCGGAUGCUGGCCAGUAACACCCAAUUUUCUAUGGUUGACCUCGGAUCAGGUAGGGAUACCCGCUGAACUUAAGCAUAUCAAUAAGCGGAGGA
Molecule: unclassified non-coding RNA, 330 nt
Filed under: soil metagenome
Description: partial contains 5.8S ribosomal RNA, internal transcribed spacer 2, and large subunit ribosomal RNA
Rfam family: 5.8S ribosomal RNA (bases 1-120)
Source: RNAcentral